RNAcentral lists this small RNA (28 nucleotides) under Bombyx mori (domestic silkworm). RNAcentral describes it as "ovarian small RNA-12836". Lineage: Eukaryota; Metazoa; Arthropoda; Insecta; Lepidoptera; Bombycidae. The record is from RNAcentral.
CAAGCGGUGUGUGUUCUACCGCAGGAGG